RNAcentral lists this long non-coding RNA (451 nucleotides) under Equus asinus (donkey). Its description in RNAcentral is "lncRNA (ENSEASG00005025274.1)". Lineage: Eukaryota; Metazoa; Chordata; Mammalia; Perissodactyla; Equidae. The record is from RNAcentral.
AUCGUAUAAACAGACUGUCUGCAGAGGAGGAGUCUAAAUGAGCAGCCAAAGAGGAGAGAAACUCAACCUCACUAAAAGCUACAGAAAGGCAACUUUGGGCCAGAAGAUUUUGGCUUUAUUCAACAGGAAACAGAGUCUUGGAAGACUUUAAAGAGAUGUGGUCUGCUUCCCAUAAUGAUUCGUCUGGUGCCAUGUGGAGUUUGCUGAUGCCAGGCCAAAAGAGGGAAACUUGAGACGGUCCAGAGGGAUGCGGGACUGAAUAAAGGCAGAGGAAGUGGGGAUGAAGAAGGAAAGAGUAGACUGGAUGGAACAUGGUGGCCAAUUUGACGUGGGAAGUGGACAGAAGGAGGAAUCAUGGAUGAUGACCAGCUCUUAGUAUGUGUUUCUGUCUUGGACAGUCGGGAGAAAAGUCCACUGGAAGGAAUGGAAGCAUAUGGAGACGGCUUCUCUG